GGGUUUCGUACGUAGCAGAGCAGC
RNAcentral lists this non-coding RNA (24 nucleotides) under Gallus gallus (chicken). The record is from RNAcentral. Lineage: Eukaryota; Metazoa; Chordata; Aves; Galliformes; Phasianidae. RNAcentral also lists the same sequence under 6 other names.